CUCUCUGGCUCUCUCUUUGUCUCUGUUCUUUUCUUUUGACCUUCCUUUUUACUCUCUUCUUUUAAUCCGCAAUAACAAUCUAAUCAGCUUCACAUCCAGUUCCAAAGGGAAAAAAUUGGGAAAUUUUUCAUCCUGAAUUUUGAUCUUAACCACAGUCACGGAGAUCUAAAUUUCUAACUUAUCAGGUAUUUUUUGAUAUUUUCUUUGGUAAUUGGAUCAUUUACAGCGAUUUUAUUCUCCAUUUUUGUUAUUCGUGUGUUUAUUUGUUUAAAUUAUGAAUGCAUGCUUGGUUUUGUCGAUUUUCUUCGUAAAAUUUGCUGUUUGUGCUGAAAUAGUCUGAUUGGUAUGUGUGCGUGUGUUUAUUGUAUGGUUUGUCGAAGGAUUUUAGUUUGGCAUUCGAGCUAACUAGGUUCCUCGAUUGCUCAUGGUUGCUGACAUGAAUGGUAGGGAUUGGAACGUGAAAAAAGAGGCCAGCUUUGUCUGAAUUCUUUGUUAGCCAAACUUAAAAUUUUAACUAUUUUGAUUUUUAAUUUGGCCCUCUAAUUGCUUGUUUGUAGGCCAAUUUUACAAUUGAGGUCUUAAUUACUAAAAAUAAUUAUCCUAGUUGUGCAUAGAAAAAGAUGAAAUUGUAAAAGUUUUUAUAAGAAACAGAGAUAUGAAGUUCAGGACUUGGAGACUGAACAACAGCUUGCCUU
RNAcentral lists this unclassified non-coding RNA (695 nucleotides) under Hevea brasiliensis (rubber tree). Lineage: Eukaryota; Viridiplantae; Streptophyta; Magnoliopsida; Malpighiales; Euphorbiaceae. The record is from RNAcentral.